This 341-nucleotide ribosomal RNA is filed under the name uncultured Chloroflexota bacterium. RNAcentral describes it as "bacterial SSU rRNA". It matches the Rfam family "Bacterial small subunit ribosomal RNA", at positions 1029 to 1382 of the family's 1533-position model. Lineage: Bacteria; Bacillati; Chloroflexota. The record is from RNAcentral.
CAUGCACAGGUGUUGCACGGCCGUCGUCAGCUCGUGCCGUGAGGUGUUGGGUUAAGUCCCGCAACGAGCGCAACCCCUGUCGCCAGUUGUAUUUUUCUGGCGAGACUGCCGAGAAAACCUCGGAGGAAGGAGGGGACGAUGUCAGGUCAGCGUGGCCCUUACGCCUGGGGCUACACACACGCUACAAUGGGCAGUACAACGGGUCGCUAAGCCGCGAGGCGGAGCCAAUCCCAUCAAAGCUGUCCUCAGUUCGGAUUGCAGGCUGAAACCCGCCUGCAUGAAGCCGGAGUUGCUAGUAACCGCAGGUCAGCAUUACUGCGGUGAAUACGUUCCCGGGCCUU